Molecule: ribosomal RNA, 523 nt
Filed under: uncultured bacterium
Lineage: Bacteria
Description: partial 16S ribosomal RNA
Rfam family: Bacterial small subunit ribosomal RNA
Source: RNAcentral
GACGAACGCUGGCGGCGUGCCUAAUACAUGCAAGUCGAACGCUUUUUCUUUCACCGGAGCUUGCUCCACCGAAAGAAAAAGAGUGGCGAACGGGUGAGUAACACGUGGGUAACCUGCCCAUCAGGAGGGGAUAACACUUGGAAACAGGUGCUAAUACCGUAUAACACUAUUUUCCGCAUGGAAGAAAGUUGAAAGGCGCUUUUGCGUCACUGAUGGAUGGACCCGCGGUGCAUUAGCUAGUUGGUGAGGUAACGGCUCACCAAGGCAACGAUGCAUAGCCGACCUGAGAGGGUGAUCGGCCACACUGGGACUGAGACACGGCCCAGACUCCUACGGGAGGCAGCAGUAGGGAAUCUUCGGCAAUGGACGAAAGUCUGACCGAGCAACGCCGCGUGAGUGAAGAAGGUUUUCGGAUCGUAAAACUCUGUUGUUAGAGAAGAACAAGGAUGAGAGUAAAAUGUUCAUCCCUUGACGGUAUCUAACCAGAAAGCCACGGCUAACUACGUGCCAGCCGCCGCGGUAA